RNAcentral lists this ribosomal RNA (301 nucleotides) under uncultured bacterium. RNAcentral describes it as "partial 16S ribosomal RNA". It matches the Rfam family "Bacterial small subunit ribosomal RNA", at positions 509 to 807 of the family's 1533-position model. The record is from RNAcentral.
CAGUAGCCGCGGGAAAACGGAGGGGGCUAGCGUUGUUCGGAAUUACUGGGCGUAAAGCGUACGUAGGCGGCUUUGUAAGUUAGAGGUGAAAGCCUGGAGCUCAACUCCAGAAUUGCCUUUAAGACUGCAUCGCUUGAACGUCGGAGAGGUGAGUGGAAUUCCGAGUGUAGAGGUGAAAUUCGUAGAUAUUCGGAAGAACACCAGUGGCGAAGGCGGCUCACUGGACGACUGUUGACGCUGAGGUACGAAAGCGUGGGGAGCAAACAGGAUUAGAUACCCGAGUAGUCCCUGUCUCUUAUAC